Molecule: ribosomal RNA, 484 nt
Filed under: uncultured bacterium
Lineage: Bacteria
Description: partial 16S ribosomal RNA
Rfam family: Bacterial small subunit ribosomal RNA
Source: RNAcentral
AUUGAACGCUGGCGGCAUGCUUUACACAUGCAAGUCGAACGGCAGCGCGGGCUUCGGCCUGGCGGCGAGUGGCGAACGGGUGAGUAAUGCCUCUUAACGUGCCCAGUCGUGGGGGAAAGGCCGGCGAAAGCCGGAUUAAUACCGCAUACGACCUGAGGGUGGAAGCGGGGGAGCGAAAGGCCUCGCGCUAUUGGAGCGGCCGAUUUCGGAUUAGCUAGUUGGUGGGGUAAAGGCUUACCAAGGCGACGCUCCUUAGCUGGUCUGAAGGGACGGCCCGCCACAUUGGGACUGAGACACGGCCCACACUCCUACGGGGGGCAGCGGUGGGGAAUUUUGGACAAUGGGGGCAACCCUGAUCCUGCCAUGCCGCGUGCGGGAAGAAGUUCUUCGGGUUGGAGACCGCUUUUGUUCGGGAAGAAAUCCUCUGGGCUAAUACCCCGGGGGGAUGACGGUACCGGAAGAAGAAGCACCGGCUAACUACGUG